RNAcentral lists this long non-coding RNA (1695 nucleotides) under Vigna radiata. Its description in RNAcentral is "long non-coding RNA (VRAD_LNC004204)". The record is from RNAcentral. Lineage: Eukaryota; Viridiplantae; Streptophyta; Magnoliopsida; Fabales; Fabaceae.
GGGCGGUCCAGGACGAGGAGUAGGCAUGGCGAUUGACGCUGGGCGGUCUUGAGGGAAACUGUCGGGCGGUGGUGAUUGCUGUCGAGCGGUUUGGAGGAUUAUGGGAAACCGCCGGGCGACACACUUAAACCGCCUGCAUAUGAAACUUAGGCAAAACCAUGAAACUUAGGCAACAAAUGUAUCAGUCCAGAGGUGAGAACGCAAUGAACAUUAAGUGCAACUGGCUCCCUAAGAGCACUCUAAAGAAUGGGAGGAUGAGUCAUAUAGUUCUCAACAUAAAAGUCAGCAGAAUAUGCAUGAGAAGCAAUAUCAAAGUUAGAUCCGGAAGGAGAAUCAUAAUCAUAGACACAGGUAGAAGAAACAGUAUCCACAUAACCAAAAUAGGUAGACAUCGGAAAGAAGGGGGAAAAGAAGAAUGCAAUGAAAAUAUGCAACUAAAGCUACCUUAAUGCAACACACAAUGACGAACACACAAAACAGAACAUCACACUCACAACACAAGACAAGACAACACACACUAACACAACAAAAGAGCUAAAAUCGAACUGUUGGUCCUCGGCAACGGCGCCAAAAUUUGAUGGGCUGUCGCAACCCAUACAAAUUUGAUUGCAUAUGAGAAAUGCAGUAUAGCUAGGGAAUGACCCGUAGGUCGUCUCUCAAGGACCAACUGCGGUUCAGAAUCAGGUCUAACACGAAGUGGGGGGGGGGUUAUGAAACGUUUUGUAAAUGCAAAUGAAUUAAUUUAAAACCUAAAAUUUAAACACAACCGAACAUAAUUGAAAGCAUUGAAGUAAAUGAAAAUUGUAAACCAACAGUCUGAUAUCAAACAGAUUAAAAAUCCCAGCUUGCGUCAACUUGGAAACAAUUGAUAAAUAAGAAAAUACAUCUUGCUGUUGGAAUAAAAGAAGCUACGCUUUCAGCAUACAUGGACAAAAUUAAAUGCACCUAAAUCUAAUGAAUCUAUCACUCCAUCACGAAAACAUCACUAAGCAAAAGGCUUGAAGGAGUAAACGGAAUUAUAAGGUGGAGAACCAAAUUCAUUGCAGCAGGAAAAAGAAGAUGCAUCCUAAAGCUAAUAAAUAAAGUACUUGAGUUAAUUAAAAUGCAUGGAAGAAAAAGCAAUUAAAUGAAAGUGCUUUGAAAUGCAAAUCCACGACAUCUAAUAUAAAACUAGCUUUAGUAAAGUGUGAAGGUAAUAUAAAAAGAAAAUAAAAAUAAAUAAUAAGAAAAACAAGUAAGGAAAAUUUUGGAGCAACUUGUGCAAUUCUCAAAUUAAAAUCACGAUCAUGUGCAUCCCAUCAUACCACCGUGACACCACUUCAUUUUUCUAAAUAAAAAUAAAACCUUCACACUUGACAUUGCAGGUCGUGUGUUGCUUCUAAAGGAAAUAAAAAAAAAAUCAAUUUUCACAUGUGCACCGUCCAGAAUGAGCUCCCUGUGUGCGCAUCCAGCAACCAUGAAAUCAGCGUGUAUUAUCUAAAGGCAAAGGAAUACAAAUUUCCACUUCCUCCUCUCGGGAACAUUCAAGGUGCUAAAUGAAAAGUAAAAAUCCUGACAACAGUUGCUUGCUUCAUUCUCCAUUUAAAAUUUAAUCCCUUACUCCAGCGUUUUCUAAACAAAAGGGUGACAGAAGUGGCAGCCAAUGCCUUGCUCAUUCCCAGCAGAAUGGAAUGCCUCGGCUGCACCUUCCUUUUC